RNAcentral lists this ribosomal RNA (263 nucleotides) under uncultured bacterium. RNAcentral's name for it is "partial 16S ribosomal RNA". It matches the Rfam family "Bacterial small subunit ribosomal RNA", at positions 524 to 786 of the family's 1533-position model. The record is from RNAcentral.
UACGGAGGAUGCAAGCGUUAUCCGGAUUUAUUGGGUUUAAAGGGUGCGUAGGCGGAUUAAUAAGUCAGCGGUGAAACUCACAGGCUCAACCUGUGCCGUGCCGUUGAAACUGUUUAUCUUGAAUGCGGAUGCUGUGGGAGGAAUGUGUAGUGUAGCGGUGAAAUGCAUAGAUAUUACACAGAACACCGAUUGCGAAGGCAUCUCACAAAGCCGUGAUUGACGCUGAGGCACGAAAGUGUGGGGAUCAAACAGGAUUAGAUACC